UAUGGCUCAGAACGAACGCUGGCGGCAGGCUUAACACAUGCAAGUUGAACGGGAUUUGAUGGUAGCUUGCUAUCAUUAAUGAGAGUAGCGCACUGGUGAGUAACACGUGGGAACAUGCCUUUUGGUGGGGGACAACAGAUGGAAACGUCUGCUAAUACCGCAUAAGCCCUGAGGGGGAAAGAUUUAUUGCCGAAAGAUUGGCCCGCGGAAGAUUAGGUAGUAGGUGGGGUAAUGGCCUACCUAGCCGACGAUCUAUAGCUGGUCUGAGAGGACGAUCAGCCACAUUGGAACUGAGACACGGUCCAGACUCCUACGGGAGGCAGCAGUGAGGAAUAUUGGGCAAUGGAGGGAACUCUGACCCAGCCAUGCCCGCGUGAGUGAAGAAGGUUUUCGGAUUGUAAAGCUCUUUCAGAUGAGAAGAUAAUGACGGUAUCAUCAGAAGAAGCACCGGCUAACUUCGUGCCAGCCGCUGC
RNAcentral lists this ribosomal RNA (473 nucleotides) under uncultured bacterium. RNAcentral's name for it is "bacterial SSU rRNA". It matches the Rfam family "Bacterial small subunit ribosomal RNA", at positions 18 to 518 of the family's 1533-position model. The record is from RNAcentral.